AAAACGUCUCUUCAGAACCCACGUGAGGAUCUUUAAGUAAUCAUCACGUUUCCUAUCCCUUAGGAAAUUGGGUCUAGCCUUUAACUACUACCACAUAUCAUGGCCAUUUACACUGACAUGUGCCCACUUUCUUUUUCCCAUUAAUGCCUAACCAAAAAUCGCUUCCACUUCCGCAGCUUAUAAAUAGACAUUCUUAAUAUUUCUUUUUUUCUCUCUCUUAACUUUUCGCAUUCUGAUCCUUCUCAAAAAAAUAUUUC
Molecule: long non-coding RNA, 257 nt
Filed under: Lathyrus oleraceus (garden pea)
Lineage: Eukaryota; Viridiplantae; Streptophyta; Magnoliopsida; Fabales; Fabaceae
Description: Pisum sativum (pea) long non-coding RNA (PSAT_LNC024077)
Source: RNAcentral